GACAGAGGGUGCAAACGUUGUUCGGAAUCAUUGGGCGUAAAGAGCGUGUAGGCGGCCCGGUAAGUCCGCUGUGAAAGUCGGGGGCUCAACCCUCGAAUGCCGGUGGAUACUGUCGGGCUAGAGUGCGGAAGAGGCGAGUGGAAUUCCUGGUGUAGCGGUGAAAUGCGCAGAUAUCAGGAGGAACACCAAUUGCGAAGGCAGCUCGCUGGGACGUAACUGACGCUGAGACGCGAAAGCGUGGGGAGCAAACAGG
This 253-nucleotide ribosomal RNA is filed under the name uncultured bacterium. Its description in RNAcentral is "partial 16S ribosomal RNA". It matches the Rfam family "Bacterial small subunit ribosomal RNA", at positions 524 to 776 of the family's 1533-position model. The record is from RNAcentral.